This 274-nucleotide ribosomal RNA is filed under the name uncultured bacterium. RNAcentral describes it as "partial 16S ribosomal RNA". It matches the Rfam family "Bacterial small subunit ribosomal RNA", at positions 79 to 354 of the family's 1533-position model. The record is from RNAcentral.
CUAAGUUUGAUGGCGACCGGCGCACGGGUGAGUAACACGUAUCCAACCUGCCGAUGACUCGGGGAUAGCCUUUCGAAAGAAAGAUUAAUACCCGAUGGCAUAGUUCUUCCGCAUGGUAGAACUAUUAAAGAAUUUCGGUCAUCGACGGGGAUGCGUUCCAUUAGCUUGUUGGCGGGGUAACGGCCCACCAAGGCAUCGAUGGAUAGGGGUUCUGAGAGGAAGGUCCCCCACAUUGGAACUGAGACACGGUCCAAACUCCUACGGGAGGCAGCAG